Tachysurus fulvidraco (yellow catfish) is the source of this 373-nucleotide long non-coding RNA. RefSeq lists it as uncharacterized. The transcript is spliced from 2 exons. NCBI's taxonomy places the organism in Eukaryota, Metazoa, Chordata, Actinopteri, Siluriformes, Bagridae. The record is from RefSeq and is a predicted model, not a curated record.
GGUAACUCUGCACCUUCUGCCCGUCACUAUAUCACCAAGUUAAAGGAAAAGAAAGCAGCAUACAUUUUGCAAGCCAAAGCUGAAUAAGCAGGCCUUGAACUGCACCUUUUGCUUCAAGCUCAUCUUGCAAGCCUGAUACACACUUUCAGCUUAAGACAAAUAUGCCAGUCUUGACUAUUCUCAGAGGAUGAUCUUUGAGUUGAAGGAAAACAAAAAGAAUUUGCCUGUCUUAAGAAGCUGAGUCUCAGGUAACUGUCACAUCUCAAGUAACAGCAGCCUGAGGGGAGAGGCAUCAGCAUACAGGAUGGAGAGGAUGUCACCUAGGCAAUCCGCAAGCUGUGAGGGGAAUAAUAAAUGGCGGGGUGUACAGACA